UACAGAGGGGGCAAGCGUUGUUCGGAAUUACUGGGCGUAAAGGGCGCGUGGGCGGCCCUCUAAGUCAGACGUGAAAUCCCUCGGCUCAACCGGGGAACUGCGUCUGAGACUGGAAGGCUUGAAUUCGGGAGAGGGAUGUGGAAUUCCAGGUGUAGCGGUGAAAUGCGUAGAUAUCUGGAGGAACGCCGGUGGCGAAGGCGGCAUCCUGGACCGAGAUUGACGCUGAUGCGCGAAAGCCAGGGGAGCAAACGGG
Molecule: ribosomal RNA, 253 nt
Filed under: uncultured bacterium
Lineage: Bacteria
Description: partial 16S ribosomal RNA
Rfam family: Bacterial small subunit ribosomal RNA
Source: RNAcentral